GACGGGGGGGGCGAGUGUUAUUCGUCAUGACUGGGCGUAAAGGGCGUGUAGGCGGUUCUUUAAGUUUAAAGGGAAAUCCCAUUAAGAAGAUGGUCUACUCUUUAAAUACUGCUGAACUAGAGUUAAAUGGAAGAAAAUGGAAUUUCUAGAGUAAGGAUGAAAUCUAGCGACACUAGGAAGAACACCAUUAGGCCGAGGCGAUUUUCUAUAUUUAACUGACGCUGAGGCGCGAAGGCAUGGGAAUCAAAGAGG
Molecule: ribosomal RNA, 252 nt
Filed under: uncultured prokaryote
Description: partial 16S ribosomal RNA
Rfam family: Bacterial small subunit ribosomal RNA
Source: RNAcentral